UACGUAGGGUGCGAGCGUUAAUCGGAAUUACUGGGCGUAAAGCGUGCGCAGGCGGUUCGUUAAGUCAGCUGUGAAAGCCCCGGGCUCAACCUGGGAACUGCGGUUGAAACUGGCGAACUAGAAUCUGGCAGAGGGGGGUGGAAUUCCACGUGUAGCAGUGAAAUGCGUAGAGAUGUGGAGGAACACCGAUGGCGAAGGCAGCCCCCUGGGCUAACACUGACGCUCAUGCACGAAAGCGUGGGGAGCAAACAGG
RNAcentral lists this ribosomal RNA (253 nucleotides) under uncultured bacterium. Its description in RNAcentral is "partial 16S ribosomal RNA". It matches the Rfam family "Bacterial small subunit ribosomal RNA", at positions 524 to 776 of the family's 1533-position model. The record is from RNAcentral.